AUGCCUUCUCUUGUCUCAGAAACAAGGGAAGGGGCCAGUGUCUGCCAAUGUCUGCAGAGCCCAGAGCAAACGUCUGAGAGAUUCAGUGUGAGUGUGCUGGUUGCCUGCUACAGAUUAGGCUUGGCAGGUGGUGAACUUACACCUUGAAAGGGGGAGGAAAAGAAGGAAGAACAAAUCAUUAGCCCUUGACCUCAGAUGGCUAAAGGAGAGAAUGUAUUUCGUGUCUACCAUAUCUUUACAUCCUUCAGUGACACAUUUGUCCAUGUCACUGAUCUUUCUGGCAAAAAAGAAAAACAAAAAACAAAAAACAUGUGCUGUGUGACUGGUGGGAUGAAGGUAAAGGUUGCCCAGGUGAAUCCUCAACACAUGCUGCCACAUUGGCCACCAGGAUGUGACCUAAAGGUGCAAGGAGCCAGGCCUUACUGCCCUACAUCAAACCAUCAAACUCCAGGCCACAGGAGGAAAUAGAACUGAGAUCUCCGAACCUGGGGCCUGCUCAGGUAUGAAGAUCGGGUGCAUUGAAAAUGUCACCCCCAUCCCCUCUAAUAGCACCUGCAGGAAGAGGGGAUCACCAUGGUUGCCAUCUGUAAACAGGACUCCUUAAAAUAUUUUCUGUUAAUAAAUUGCCUUCAUGUCAACUAAAAAAAGCGAGAGAGAGAGAGAGAGAGAGAGAAUUCACACAAAAUGAUGCCCAGUCUUGGUCUCCGUCGUGAGGGGUCCAGGAACAAUGGGUGGGGGUUCAUUUGCAUAACACACCACCAGGGAGAGUACUGUCACCUGCCCUCCUGGGUCCUGAAGAAAACCCUUCACUCCAAUUCCUUGUGCACUGUUUCUAAAGGCAGGAAAGGUAUACACUUCUAGAAGGACAGUCACAUAAAACGCUAGAAGAAUAAUGUGCUUUAUUUAAGUGCUAAGAGAUACCCUUGAUGCUUGUGUUACCUGGAAGUUGGCUUCAGGGAAACACUUCAUUGACCUUCUCUCAAGGAUAAAUGAGCGGCAGGGACAGGGAAGGGAGAAAGGUUAUUUUAACAUUUUAUUCAGUCUCUGAGAUUCUUCGGAGAUCACCUUAGGAAUGUUCUUGACCUGAGUCCUCUUACUAAGUGUAAUCACGUAGUCUGCCAGACUGCAUCAUUAACCCUACUUUGCAGCUGAGUCAACUACAAGAGAUGACUUUUCUAGGCUGGUGGAAUGGAAUUUGCCAUGUACCGCAUGCAGCCAUGUACUGGAUCGGUCGAUCCAGGUGCAAUUUCUUUGAUGGUGUUAUUGACGGGUGGCAGGGGAGUGGCAAAUGCAAGAGGAGAUACGGGAUGAAGCCCAGUGCAGGGAAGGUUGGGCUGGGGCAGGAUCAGGGAGCCAGGGUAUGGGGCUGAAACCCUGGUUAAUAGUAGCAAAAGAAAUGGGCACCACAAUCCCAAAGGACUUCCAGAAGCUUCUUCCCUCCCCCACAGCUGGGCGCAGAGCCUUACCUCCCCUCCGCCUUGGUCCUGUCUCCCUGUUUGGCAAGACUCCCAUGUCAUCUGCUCUUCUUUACCUCUGGUCCCUCUUGGCACUGGAAAUACUAUGUGAACCCAGCAGUUGCACAGGAUUCUAGGAAUUGCUCCUUUCCAGCUUCCUGAACUGGUUUUCAAAUUCACCUCAGAGGUACCUUUAAAAAUCAUGCUCCAAGACCGGGCCUGGUGGCUCAUGCCUGUAAUCACAGCACUCUGGGAGGUUGAGGCAAGAGGACCGCCUGAGCCCAGGAGUUCAAGAGCAACCUGGGCAACAUAGUAAGACCUGUCUCUACAAAAUAAUAAAAGAAUUAUCUCGGUGUGGUGGUAUGCCACUGCACUCCAGCCUAGAUGACAGUGAGACACCCUGUUUCAAGAAAACCUCACAAAACCCCACACUCCAUACAGUCAGGAGGUCUGCCAUCCACAGACUCCAGACCAAUGGUUCCAGCAGCCAGGCAGGAGCAGCAUGGGCAAUGUCAGUAGCCUGCACAUCAGGCUAGCUUUUCUGAGGUCACAAAGUCUGCGUGGAAGUGGAGAAUCCAUAAGGGUCAGACCCUCCACAGGAGGAGGCCUUCCCUCCCCAAGCACUAACCUCCCUGACAUGGUGCCCUCCUCUCAGCCCUGGCCUGCACGCUCCUGCUGAGGUAACCUGUCCCCACUCCAUGUUAGAAAACCAUAAAACCCCCAAGAGACAUUUCUACCAAGUGAUCUAAAGACUGAGAUUCACCUUAUAAAAUUUAUAAAACUUAACAUGUAGAAGAGCCCAGUUUUAAUGCCUCCAACUUUUAUUUUCCAAAGAACAGUUAGUAGACUUGGCCCUGGGGGGACGAGAGCCCGGCUUUCAGACAAGGAGCCUCACCAGCAAUUCUGUACGUUUGAGGUGGCAGAGGUUUUCUGUGAACUUGUGGCUUGUGUCAUUUCUAAACACGGUAGUGUAAAUGGGAUUGUCUUUAUUUUGCAAAUGAGAAAAUGGAAGCGCCAGAGGGACAAAAGGACUCUCUCAAGGUGCCAUGGUGAGAAGGAGGCAGAAGGAGGACUUCACCUUUGUCUUGAUUUCACUGACUGCUGUUCAUCGUGCCACAGGUGUCUUCAAAAAGCAGUCGUUCUCCCACUGGAAUGUUUAUGUGAGAGGGAAAUGUGAUACUGUAAUAUAAUUUCAGUGGGGCUGGUCAUCCCUGCAAGGCUGAAAUGACCCUCUCUGUUUUAAUGUGAAAGGAAGCAUCAUCUUCUCUCCCAUUCCCACACAGGAUGUGUGCAGCAUCUUCGAGUCUCUGCCUCGUGAUUCUAGAUCUGUAGUAAGCUCUCCAUGGCAAGAAAGCCUUGCACUUCACUGAGGGAGUGGAUCUUCCAGUUACGUGUUUUUCUGAAGCAACUGGAAUUCUUUGCUUUUUGUAGCAAGACAGGCUUUUAAAAUUUUCUGGGAGAGAAGGAGGAUUGGCCAGAAAAGGCAUGAAGAGUGGGAGAAGCGUGCAUUGUGGACCUGUCUGAGUGUGGGAGUAUGUCCCGAUAAUCAAGAGACUGAGGAGUAGCAUCCUCUGUACCCCACAGUGUUCUAAAUGGAGGAAACUAACAAGGUAAUUGCAGGGGAAUAACACACUGUGAAUGUUAUGUGGGAUUUGAAAUUGUUAUCUCAAGAGUGAUCAGGUGGAGAGAGGAAGGGUGAACUCUUUCAGACUAGGUUUAGACUAGGUUUGUUUUCUGCAGUGUAUUUCCACUGUUAAAAGGGAUUUUGUUCCCUACUUUUUCUGCUGGUGGACAUUUCCCUUGGGGGAUCCUGGCCAAUGAAAGGUCACGCAGAGACCAGUCACUCUCAGGGAUGCCAGCAGAGCCAAUCAGACACAUGCCCUAGAUUUCCCCAGAGCAGACUGAGUGAACCAUAGGAGGGUCUGUCUGAUAUUUAUCUUGGCAGAAUUCUCAAAUGAGUUAGCAAAUAGUGGCUGGAGAUAAAGUGAGACUUUGAGCAACCUCUGGACUGACUCUGAUUACCCUCCACGCCCCACCUGGGCAAGGAGGAGAGACUAGAAAGCCAGCAGCAAAGAGUAAACUUUUCCAAGAAUCAGGAAGGAAGGAGUUCCUGACACCCUGAAGCAAAAACAACCUCAAAAUUCCCCUGAUGACAGAUCCAUGGGAGCUGGGGUCAAGGUAGCCUUGCACUUCACUGAGGGAGGUGUCAUCACCAAAUGUGCUGGACAUUGGCUACCCAUGGAAGACAGAUAAAAGAAAAUAGUGGAGAGCAUGCUUAUGACAUGGGGACAGGAAAGGGAAGGCCUUGAGUAAGACACAAAUCACAAAAGCAAAUAGAGAAAGAGUGAUGUCUACUUUCAAUGAAAUGUGAAACUUCUGAUUCAAAAUCAGAAACCUCUAGAAGCUGAGAUCAAAGGCAAGCAACGGAGUUGGAGAAGAUAUUUCUAACAUAUUUGUGUGUGUGCCUAUGUAUAUGUAAGUGUGUAAUGUGCAUACAUAUACACAUGAAUUCUGAUGGUUAUCUAGGCUCUAUGAAGAACUCCUAUCUAUUAAUAAGAAAAAAGACCAAGAUCAACAACCUCGUAGACAAAUGGUUGAAGAAGAUGACCAGCUAGUCCACAGAAAAUAAAAUGCAAAUGGAGUGGGAGGGCCCAGAAGAAAUCUUGCUUUAUCUAAAUUGUGUUGAUUAUGAGAGCAUAUGCUUAUAUUAAUUUUAUAAGUAAAAACAGAGAAAAAGUACCUGAAGAUUAAACCAAGCAAUGUGAUGUGUUAGUCACAUCACACACAGGAAGGGAGCUCUCAGCCUGUAAAAUAUGAGCCCAUUUGUGUGAAGCUGAGCAGAUGUGGAGAAGUCUUAGGACUCCAAGAGAGGAAGACCACAGGGCAUGGAGAGCCAAGGGACGGGGCAGAGAGGCUCUGGGAGGGCGCCCAGCCAUGUGGCUCAGUGCAGCUGGUGCAGAGCUCAGCUAUACCCUGGGGCUGGGCACUCAGCACAGUGUAGUCAGAUGAAGGCAGGAGAGUGGGGCAGGGAUUCUCCAUUUGAGUCAUGGUGACAAGCAGGGCCUCAGUCCCUGGGAAGGAUGGAAUCCAAAUUUAAUUCACUUCUGAACACUGUUCUAUAAUCUAUGCUUCAUUUAGAUACUAGUAAGCCUAAAAGAGCUGAAAAAUCAUUUUAUUUCCCCUUCCAACAUACAAUUUCUAAGACAUUUGAAUCAUUGAUGUUGAAGUUUCUUUGAGAAUGAGUUGAGUGUCCCAUUUUCAGCCUGAAAACAAAGCCUCAGCCACAAUCUUCAUCUCACCCCCUUUCUCUCUGUUUAUUUUCUUUACAAAAAAAUUCCCCCAUCUCUUUGUUCUUUAACAAAAUGUCGCGUGCAUCUUCUAAGUUCCAAGAACUGCACUGGCUUCCAGGAGACAGUGGCAACCCUGGCUCUGACCUCAUGGCAUGACCAAAGGGAAGGUCUCAGCCAGGGAUGUGAGGGACAUUGGAAAGAGGACACUGGUGAGCAACGGGGUCUUCCUUGGGUUGGGGAGGAGAGUUACUUCCCUAGUAGCCCACAGCUACUGGUAGGGGCCACCCUGGGCAGACAAAUGGUCUGAAUUUAUAUUGACAAAAAGCAAGUGCUGACGCCUUCCCAAUCACAGUUCCUUCAAAAACUUCAGGGUUUCUUGGGAAGGGAAGUGAACAUUAGUUGAGCCUCUGAGAUGUGCCAGGACUGUACUAGGAAGCUUCACAGAUGCUAGUAUUUAGAUUGGAUAUGCCUCCUGGAGUGCUGCGCUGUCUGUUAUGGGAAAUCAAAACAGCCAUUGCACUUCUGUAGUGUUCACAAGGAGCCUCACUUCUGGGCUUGGGCAGGCUGAGGAGUUCCAGGUUGGAGGAUCAGAUUUGGUGACUGCAUAGGAACUGUUGUCCUUUUUUCUCUUUUGAGAUAUGAAAUUUGCUCCAUAUCUCAGAAGAGUGUGUGCCUCCAUCCCACACUUGGAACACGUGCUAUUAUUCUUUAAAAAAAAUCUGUUGAACAUAUUAAAUGCUCUGCUUUCAUCACAGGUUAUAUUGUGCUGGGGCAGCAGGCUUAUGGUGCAAGAGCAGUGCACUGUGUGUCCGCUAGGGCCCCCCUGUCAUUUCAGUUGGUCUCCUUGACACGCCCCAGCUUGCUGCCCCCCAGGCUGUCUUGGAGAGACACAUUUGUGUUUUGUAAUACAGCAUGCCAUGCACUACUAUAUGGAGAUACUUUAUAAAGGAGUCCACAUGACACAAGGAAACCAGGAGAAAACAAUCCUAGAAAUCCCCAGAGCUUGGAAGCUGGGACAUGCAAGUGAGAUAUGGCGUGUGCUAUCAAGUGGCAAUCUCCUUCCAGCAGGAAAGCCACUGUUGUCAUUGCUUUAGGCAGGAGCUGGGAUUAAGCACAUCUACCACCCAGAAAAUAAUACAAAUAAGAACCACGGUCCAAAUCCAACACGAGUCUCACCCGUUCUCUAAAAUGUGGAAGCGUGUAGAUCUUAGCAUCUCUGUCCUUUCUCUGGCUUGGAGGAAGUUGGGCUCCUGGGUACUGUCUCAUCAAUCACGCCCAGUACCUGUGGACAGGUGCCUCCCCUGCUCUCUGGAUAAUUGGAUUUGGAUGGAUUGGGAACAGAAGGGAGCUUUGAUUGAUCCUCUUGUCUGUACUUGUGACCUUCAACUCCCUGUGGUGUAGGGUAUUGGUUUAGUCUCCCUGUCUUCUCCUGGUGUCCCUCCAGCUCAAAUCCUGCUCUUCCCCUACAUGCUUGAGUGGCCUGCUCACUUUGGGCUCUCUCUCCUUGACCCCUGGAACACCACCUCUUUGGUUCUUAAUAAUCCGGAAGCUUCUCACCUGGUGGUAGCUCUGAUAUUAUCCUCUUCGUUCACUGGAAGCUUCCAGAUCCUGCCCCCUCAAUCCAUUUUCUCCCCACAGGCCUUCCUCAGAAACACAACAACAUGUAUUGCUUAUAUCAUUGUGUACCAAAUGACUGGCAAAGAGGAUGAGUGAGUGAGGGCCAAGGGGGACGGAUCAGAGGAGAAACAUUCCAAGAGAGUGGGAACCCAGGGAAGGCUUCUCAGAGGAGCUGGGACACACUGGGGCCUGAAAGAAGUGGACAUUUAGAUGAGCAAAAAGACUGCAGGAGUGUCCAAUCUUUUGGUUUCACUGGGCCACAUUGGAAGAAGAGUUGUCUUGAGCCACAUGUAAAAUACAGUAACAAUAGCUGAUGCACAACAACAACAACAACAUCAGAAAAACGACUGAUAAUGCUUUAAGAAAGUUUACAAAUUUAUGUUGGGCCACAUUCAAAGCCAUCCUAGGCCACAUGCAGCCUGCGGGCUGUGGGUUGAACAGGCUUGAGCUAAGCAGGUGUGUUCUGAGCUGGAGAGAAGGCCAGUCCCAUGCUUUAUCGUUUGUGGUAUCACCAACCAAUGAUACUUUAAACGGUUGGUGGGUACAGGCCCUGGGCAGGGAGAUAGUAAGAAAAAGCUUACAAAAGAAAAGGAGGAGGAGGGGAGUUGCAGGUCAUAGAGGGCCUUGAAAGUGAGACUGAAGGUUUGGGCCCUCCCCCAUGGGCACGCCACUGAGCAGGGACCCUGUCACUGUUAGUUCUGUCUUCCAUCUUUGGAAAUAAUGACAUAGUCAACUACUCCUCUACAAAAAGAGUCACACACACACACACACACACACACACACACACACACACGUGGAAGCUUCCAGAUCCUGCCCCCAACCCAUUCUCUCCCCACAGGGCUUCCUCAGAAACACAACAAACGUAUACUGCUUACACCAUUGUGUGCCAAAUGACUGGCCCAGAGGAUGAGUGAGUGAGGGCCAACCUAGGCUAGGGGACGGGUCAGAGAAGAAAAUUCAAAGAGUGGGAACUCAAGGAAGGUUUAUUGCUUAAAGAAGGGUGAUACGUACUUCCUGGUCAGGAUCACCCUCUGGCUUUUCUAUUGAAGUUUAGUUUCUCAAGCUCACCAACAUCCAUUUGGGGCAUCUUCUCUUGGCAUCCACCCUAGUUCCAUUACAGCCAAAGCUGGAGGUGUUGGGGAAUGUCACAUGCUUCAGGGGUGUCUGUGUAGUUUGCUUUUUACCCAGCUGAACUCACAGCUUUAAUGUGUGAAGGCGAUCUUCCAGUUCAAGAGGACAGAGUUGGUGCCCCUGUCUGUACCAACCUAAGAGAGCUUUCUGUUUCCUGCUUCCUGCUCUGUGGACUCCCCAUAUGCCCCUGUAGUAUUUGCCUAAUACUUUGGAACCAACAAUAAUAACGUAUGAAAUCUUUAUUUCAAACACAGUUUGAAUUUCAUCCAUCUUCAUCUUACCCAAAGGGAUAGAUUCUAUAGUCCUCAAUCUGGAUGGUCAGAGCUGAGAAAUCCCCUUACCUCCAAACACGGGCACUUUUAUUUUGUAACCACUGUCUGUCUGGUUUUCUGUUUUGAAGUCUCCCUGGGUGAUGGUGCCGCCAGAUAAAAGUUGUAAUGAGAGAAGGAGGGUGGGAGGGAAGGUCCGGUGACAAGGCAAGGCGGAAGGUAAUGGAGACCUUCUCCAAUCAGAAGUCUAGAAGGCAGGGCACGCAGUAGGUCUGCAGAAUGAGUCAGAACCCGCCUAUGAAUGCUGUCUAUUCAUGGCUCCAGGCUUUUGUUAAAGUCUGGGCCUACAUUUUAAAGAGGGAGUGGGGGAACUGGCCAGACUGGUCUGACAACUAAGGAGUGGUGAACUCUUCCCUGAGGCUAGUGCUCAGGUGGAUGAAGUCAUCAAUAUUUUCUGGGCAGUCCUAAUCUGUGAUUAACUUUUUUCUCUGCUGUGAAAUAACAGCCUUCUUUUCAGCCUGCUAACAAUAAGAAAACCUGGCUGCCUGUCUGGGGGAUAUUUUAUGCCAGGCUUCAGUAGAGGCAUAUUUGAGAAGCCAUUUGGGACUCCUGUCCCUGGGGAAAGCCCAGCAGAGUAUAGGGAGGGGUCUGAGUGGUGGCGGAGUCCUCCCAGCCCUGGUCCUGGUGGUUCCGGUAUACUUUGAUGUCCUGACUUCAAACUCAGCUUACUCAAAGCAAAUGUCCGUUUUCGUUCUUACUCCCUUCUUGUUUAAGGCCUCACCACUGACCAGGAAGACUUGAUAGAACCAUCUAGUAACUCUUUCAAAAAAAAUUGGUUAUUUUUUUAUUGUACUUUAGGUUCUGGGGUACAUGUGUAGAUCAUGCAGGAUUGUUGCAUAGGUACAUACAUGGCAAUGUGAUUUGCUGCCUGCAUUCCCCCCGUCACCUAUAUCUGGCAUUUCUCCAUGGGUUAUCCCUCCCUGACCUCCCCACCCGCCACUGUCCCUCCCCUAGCCCCCCACCAACAGACCCCAGUAUGUGAUCCUCCCCUCCCUGUGUCUGUGUAUUUUCAUUGUUCAACACCCACCUAUGAGUGAGAACAUGCAGUGUUUGAUUUUCUGUUUUUGUGUCAGUUUGCUGAGAAUGAUGGUUUCCAGAUUUAUCUAUGUCCCUACAAAGGACAUGAACUCAUCAUUUUUUAUGGCUGCAUAGUAUUCCAUGGUGUAUAUGUGCCACAUUUUCUUUGUUCAUUCUAUAAUUGGUGGACAUUUGGGUUGUUUCCAGGUCUUUGUAUUGUAAACAAUACCACAAUGAACAUACUUGUGCAUGUGUCUUUACAAUAGAAUGAUUUAUAGUCCUUUGGGUAUAUACCCAGUAAUGGCAUUGCUGGGUCAAGUGGAUCUCAAGUUCUAGGUCCUUGAGGAAUCGCCACACUAUCUUCCACAACGGUUGAACUAACUUACACUCCCACUAACAGUGUAGAAGUGUUUCUAUUUUUCCACAUCCUCUCCAGCAUCUGUUGUCACCAGCUUUUUUAAUGAUCACCAUUCUAAUUGGCAUGAAAUGGUAUCUCAGUGUAAUUUUGAUUUGCAUCUCUAAUGACCGGUGAUGAUGAGAAUUUUUUGAUGUUUGUUGGCCUCGUAAAUGUCUUCCUUUGAAAAGUGUCUGUUCAUAUCCUUCAUCCACUUUUGAAUGGGUUUGUUUGUUUUUUUUUUCUUGUAAAUCUGCUUUAGUUCUUUGUAGAUUCUGGAUAUUAGCCCUUUGUCUGAUGGGUAGAUUGCAAAAAAUUUUUUCCCAUUCUGUUGGUUGCUGGUUUACUCUAAAUGAUUGUUUCUUGUGCUGUGCAAAAACUCUGAAGUUUAAUUAAAUCUUAUGUGUCUAUUUUGUGUUUUGUUGCCAUUGGUUUGGUAUUUAGUCAUGAAAUCCUUGCCUAUGCCUAUGUCCUGAAUGGUUUUGCCUAGGUUUUCUUCUAAGGUUUUUAUGGUGUUAGGUCUUAUGUUUAAAUCUUUAAUCCAUUUGGAGUUAAUUUUGGUGUAAUAAGGUGUAAGAAAGGGGUCCAGUUUCUGUACAUGGCUAGCCAGUUUUCCUAACACCAUUUAUUGAACAGGAUUUCCUUUCCCCAUUGCCUGUUUUUGUCAGGUUUGUCAAAGAUCAGAUGAUUGUAGAUGUGUGGUGUUGCUUCUGAGGCCUCUGUUUUGUUUGAUUGGUCUGUAUCUCUGUUUUGGUACCAGUACCAUGCUGUUUUGAUUACUACUGCCUUGUAGUAUAGUUUGAAGUCAGGUAGCAUGAUGCCUCCAGGUUUGUUCUUUUUGCUUAGGAUUGUUUUGGCUAUGUGGGCUCUCUUUUUGUUCCAUAUGAAGUUUAAGGUGGUUUUUUCCAGUUACAUGGAGAAGGUCAUUGGUAGCUUGAUGGGGAUAGCAUUGAAUCUAUAAAUUACUUUGAGCAGUAUGGCUAUUUUCAUGAUAUUGAUUCUUCCUAACCAUGAGCAUGGAAUGUUUUUCCAUCUGUUUGUGUCCUCUCUUAUUUCCUUGAGCAGUGGUUUGUAGUUCUCCUUGAAGAGGUCCUUUACAUCCUUUGCUAGUUGUAAUCCUAAAUAUUUUAUUCUCUUUGUAGCAGUUGUGAAUGGGACCUCAUGAUUUUGCUCUCUUUAAGUCUGUUGUUGGUGUAUAGGAAUGCUUGUGAUUUCUGCACAUUGAUUUUGUAUCCUGAGACUGUUGAAGUUGCUUAUCAUCUUAAGGAGAUUUUGAGCUGAGAUUAUGGGGUCUUCUAAAUAUGCAAUCGUGUCGUCUGCAAAUAGAGACAAUUUGACUUCCUCUUUUCCUGAUUAAAUACCGUUUAUGUUUUUUUUUCCUUGCCUGAUUGCUCUGGCUAGAACUUCCAUUAGGAGUGGUGAGAGAGGGCAUCCUUGCCUAGUGCUAGACUUCAAAGAAAAUGCUUCCAGUUUUUGUCUAUUUAGUAUGAAAUUAGCUGUGGGUUUGUUAUAAAUAGGUUUUAUUAUUUUGAGAUAUGUUCCAUCGAUACCUAGUUUAUUAAGGAUUUUUAGCAUAAAGGGCUGUUAAAUUUUGUCAAAGGCCUUCUCUGCAUCUAUUGAGAUAAUCAUGUUUUUGUUUUUGUGGUUUGGUUUAUAUGAUGGAUUAGAUUUAUAGAUUUGUGUAUGUUGAACCAGCCUUGAAUCCCCAGGAUAAAGCCUACUUGAUCAUGAUGGAUAAGUGUUUUGAUGUGCUGUUGCAAUCAGUUUGCCGAUUUUAUUGAAGAUCUUUGCAUCUAUGUUCAUCAUGGAUAUUGGCCUGACGUUUUCUUUUUUUUUUUUUUUUUUUUUUUUUGCUGAGUCUCUGCCAAGUUUUGGUAUCAGAAUGAUGUUUGGUCUCAUAAAAUGAUUUUGGAAGGAUUCCCUCUUUUUGUGUUGUUUGGAAUAGUUUCAGAAGGAAUAGUACGAGCUCCUCUUUGUAUGUCUGGUAGAAUUCAGCUGUGAACCCAUCUGGACCUGGACUUUUUUUGGUUGGUAGGCUAUUAAUUGCUGCCUCAACUUCAGCCCUUGUUAUUGGCCAUUCAGGGUUUCAACUUCUUCCUGGUUUAGGCUUGGGAGGGUGCAAGUGUGCAGGAAGUUUUAUCCAUUUCUUCCAGGUUUACUGGUUUAGUUGCAUAGAGUUGUUUGUAGUAAUCUCUGAUGGUAGUUUGUAUUUCUGUAGAAUUGGUGUUGAUAUCCCCUUGAUCAUUUUUUAUUGCAUCUAUUUGAUUCUUCUGUCUUUUCUUUUUCAUUAAUCUGGCUAGCAGUCUAUUUUGUUGAUCUUUUCAAAAAACCAGCUCCUGGAUUUAUUGAUUUUUUGAAGGGUUUUUUGUGUCUCUAUCUCCUUCAGUUCUGCUCUGAUCUUAUUUAUUUCUUGUCUUCUGCUAGCUUUUGAUUUUUUUUUUUUUUUGAUCUUGCUCCUCUAGCUCUUUCAAUUCUGAUGAUAGGUUGUCAAUUUUAGAUCUUUCCUCACUUCUCAUGUGGACAUUGUUACUAUAAAUUUCCCUCUAGACACUGCUUUAAAUGUGUUCCAGAGAUUCUGAUAAGUUGCAUCUUCCUUCUUGUUAGUUUCAAAGAACAUCUUUAUUUCUGCUUUCAUUUCAUUGUUUGUUUAGUAAACAUUCAGAAACCAGUCAAUCAGUUUCUGUGAAGUUGUGUGGUUCUGAGUUAGUUUCUUAAUCCUGGGCUCUAAUUUAAUUGCACUGUGGUCUGAGAGACUGUUUGUUAUGAUUUCUGUUCUUUUGCAUUUGCUGAGGAGUGAUUUACUUCCAAUUAUGUGGUCAUUUUUAGAGUAGGUGUGAUGUGGUGAUGAGAAGAAUGUAUAUUUUGGAUUUGGGGUGGAGAGUUCUGUAAAUGUCUAUCAGGUUUGUUUGUUCCAGAUCUGAGUUCAAGUCCUGGAUAUCCUUGUUAAUUUUCUGUCUGGUUGAUCUGUCUAAUAUUGACAGUGGAGUGUUAAAGUCUCCUACUAUUAUUGUGUGGCAGUCUAAAUCUCUUUGCAGGUCAUUAAGAACUUGCUUUAUGUAUCUGUGUGCUCCUGUAUUGGGUGCAUAUAUAUUAAGGAUUCUUAGCUCUUCUUGUUGGAUUGAUCCUCGUACUCUUAUGUAAUGCCCUUCUUUGUCUCUUUUGAUCUUUGUUGGUUUAAAGUCCAUUUUAUCAGAGACUAGGAUUGCAACUCCUGCUUUUCUUUGCUCUCCAUUUGCUUGGUAAAUCUUCCUCCAUCCCUUUAUUUUGAGCCUAUGUGUGUCCUUGCAUGUGAGAUGGGUUUCCUAAAUACAGCACACCAAUGGGUCUUGACUUUCUAUCCAAUUUGCCAGUCUGGGUCUUCUGAUUGGUGCAUUUAGCCCAUUUAUAUUUAAGGUUAAUAUUGUUAUGUGUGAAUUUGAUCCUGCCAUUUUGAUGCUAGGUGGUUGUUCUGCCCAUUAGUUAAUGCAGUUUCUUCAUUGUGUCAAUGGGUCUUUACUAUUUGGUACAUUUUUGGAGUGGCUCGUACUCGUUCUUCCUUUCCACGUUUAGUGCUUCUUUCAGGAGCUCUUAUAAGGCAGCACUGGUGGUAACGAAAUCUCUCAGCAAUUGCUUGUCCUUAAAGGAUUUUAUUUCUCCUUUGCUUAUGAAACUUAGUUUGUCUGGAUAUGAAAUUCUAGGUUGAAAAUUUGUUUCUUUAAAGAUGUUGAAUGUUGGCCCCCACUUUCAUCUGGCUUGUAGGUUUCUGCUGAGAGAUCCACUGUGAGUCUAAUGAGCUUCCCUUUGUGGGUAAUCUGACCUUCCUCUCUGGCUGCCCUUAGCAUUUUUUUCUUCAUUUCAACCCUGGUGAAUCUGAUGAUUAUGUGCCCUGGGGUUGCUCUUCUUGAGGAAUAUCUUUGUGGUGUUUUCCGAAUUUCCUGAAUUUGAAUGUUGACCCUUCUUGCUAGGUUGGGGAAGUUCUCUGGAUAAUACCCUGGAGAGUGUUUUCCAGCUUGGAUUUAUUCUCUCCAUCACUUUCAGGUACACCUAAGAAACAUAGAUUAGGGCUUUUCACAUAAUCCCAUAUUUCUUGGAGACUUUGUUCAUUUCUUUUCACUCUUUUUUCUCUUAUCUUACCUUUUUGUUUUAUUUCAUUGAGUUGAUCUUUAAUCUCUGAUAUCCUUUCUUCUGCUUGGUCAAUUCAGCUAUUGAAAUUUGUAUAUACCUCGUGAGGUUCUUGUGCUGUGUUUUUCAGCUCCAUCAAGUCGUUUAUAUUCUUUUCUAAGCUAUUUAUUCUCAUUAGCAUUUUGCCUAACCUUUUUUCAAGGUUCUUAGUUUCUUUGCAUUGGGUUAGAACAUGUUCUUUUAGCUCAGAGAAGUUUGUUAUUACCCAUCUUCUGAAGGCUUUUUCUAUCAAUUCAUCAGACUCAUUCUCCAUCCAGCUUUGUUCCCUUGCUGGUGAGGAGUUGUGAUCCCUUGGAGGAGGAGAGGAGUUCUGGUUUUGGUGUUUUCAUCUUUUUGCACUGGUUUCUUCCCAUCUUCAUGGAUUUAUCUACAUGUGGUCUUUGUAAUUGGUAACUUUCAGAUGGGGUCUCUGAGUAGACGUCCUUUUUGUUGAUGUUGAAGCUAUUUCUUUCUGUUUUUUAGUUUUUCUUCCAACAGUCAGGUGCCUCUGCUGCAGGACUGCCGGAGGUUUACGCCAGACCCUGCUUGCCUGGGGAUCACCCCCAUGGGCUGCAGAACAGUAAGGGUUCCUGCCAGUUUCUUCUUCUGUUUUCUUCAUCCCAGAAGGGUACCUGUCAGAUGUCAGCCUGAGCUCUCCUUUAUGAGGUGUCUCUUUGGAUAUACAGGGGUUAGGGAGCUGCUUGAGGAGACAGUCUGUCUGUUAUAGGAGCUCAAGUGCU
Callithrix jacchus (white-tufted-ear marmoset) is the source of this 14112-nucleotide non-coding RNA. NCBI's taxonomy places the organism in Eukaryota, Metazoa, Chordata, Mammalia, Primates, Cebidae. The record is from RefSeq and is a predicted model, not a curated record.